Long non-coding RNA from Mustela erminea (ermine), 914 nucleotides. RefSeq lists it as uncharacterized. The record is from RefSeq and is a predicted model, not a curated record. The transcript has 4 exons. Lineage: Eukaryota; Metazoa; Chordata; Mammalia; Carnivora; Mustelidae.
UGGGGUCCCAGAGUCUGCUGGGAACGGGAGCUCUGAUAAGGGACGGGCCCUGCCAGACAUUGCAUCAGGCAGCAAAACUCCACUCCCCUCACUUGCUGGGCCCCAGAGCCACGGGGCGUCCUUCCUCCUCAAGACUGUUCACACUCCAGAGCUCCAGCUUCCUCUCCCAAGAACAAACCCCUGUAGGAUCCCCUUAGGGGCAUGGGCCCAACCUCAGCCAAGACAGACAGAGGAGAAGCAGCCACAGAAAUUCAGGCUCUGAGAGACCAAGGCAUACCCGUGGAUGAUGACAAAACUCCAACUACUACGUGGGUCUCCUGUGUCCCAGAGGGUCAUUCUCGCAGCAACACGGGAGCCCAGUGACUGCAGAAUGAAUCCAAAAUGCAAGCCUGAGAACAAAGCUGACCGAUACCCGUGUCACCCGUGUCAGAGGGGAGGCUAGCUCCCCGCUCCUGUCCUUGUAGACAGAAGACUUCACAGUCUCAUUUCUCCCCUUUCCAGCCAAAGGAAUUUCAGGUCUGGCCCACCAAAACCAGAACAGACACACCCUGCACGCCUGUGUUCCUUCCAGAGAGGUAAGAUACACCCCCGAAGGGCCACAUAAUCAGGGUCUGCACGGCCAAGGAGCUGGGUGCUUUCUGCCACUUCCUUGGAGAUCAACAUCUCCAUGAAACUCUGGGAAGUGAUUCACACUACUGAAAGAUGAAAACUCUCUGGGCACUUCCUGUCUGCGCCGCGCCAUUUGGCAGGCCUGGGUUCACACACCCUACCUCCUGUGACUCACUUCAUUUUGCAGCUGGAUUGUGGAGUGGCUAAAAGCAUAGGCACAGCUAGAGUUGGACAGCUGAAGAUUUGCAGUUUGGCUGUGUGACCUUGGACAAGUCAGCUACCCUCUCUAGGCCUCAGUGUUGGCA